UCCUCCCAUCCGUGUCUAUUUGUACCCUGUUGCUUCGGCGGGCCCGCCCUUCGUGGCCGCCGGGGGGCUUCCCUGCCCCCGGGCCCGUGCCCGCCGGAGACCUCAACCAUGAACACUGUCUGAAGGUUGCAGUCUGAGUACCGAUACAAAAAAUCGUUAAAACUUUCAACAACGGAUCUCUUGGUUCCGGCAUCGAUGAAGAACGCAGCGAAAUGCGAUACGUAAUGUGAAUUGCAGAAUUCAGUGAAUCAUCGAGUCUUUGAACGCACAUUGCGCCCCCUGGUAUUCCGGGGGGCAUGCCUGUCCGAGCGUCAUUGCUGCCCUCAAGCACGGCUUGUGUGUUGGGCCCCCGUCCCCCUCCCAGGAAGGGGACGGGCCCGAAAGGCAGCGGCGGCACCGUGUCCGGUCCUCGAGCGUAUGGGAAGCAACUUUUUGUCACCCGCUCCUGUAGGUCCGGCCGGCGGCCUGCCCAACCCCAAC
RNAcentral lists this unclassified non-coding RNA (480 nucleotides) under Aspergillus penicillioides. RNAcentral describes it as "sequence contains ITS1, 5.8S rRNA gene, ITS2, 28S rRNA gene". The stretch from base 161 to 314 matches the Rfam family "5.8S ribosomal RNA". The record is from RNAcentral. Lineage: Eukaryota; Fungi; Ascomycota; Eurotiomycetes; Eurotiales; Aspergillaceae.